RNAcentral lists this transfer RNA (76 nucleotides) under Prevotella sp. kh1p2. RNAcentral describes it as "tRNA_Lys_TTT". It matches the Rfam family "tRNA". Rfam says of the family: Transfer RNA (tRNA) molecules are approximately 80 nucleotides in length. Their secondary structure includes four short double-helical elements and three loops (D, anti-codon, and T loops). RNAcentral also lists the same sequence under 1 other name. The record is from RNAcentral. Lineage: Bacteria; Pseudomonadati; Bacteroidota; Bacteroidia; Bacteroidales; Prevotellaceae.
GACUCGUUAGCUCAGCUGGUAGAGCACAACACUUUUAAUGUUGGGGUCAUGGGUUCGAGCCCCAUACGAGUCACAA